Molecule: transfer RNA, 58 nt
Filed under: Chamaeleo africanus (African chameleon)
Lineage: Eukaryota; Metazoa; Chordata; Lepidosauria; Squamata; Chamaeleonidae
Description: tRNA-Ser
Source: RNAcentral
GAAAGGUUCACAAGAACUGCUAACUCCUACUACUAGUGCUAACCCACUAGACCUUUCU